GGGGGGGGGGGGGGGGGGGGGGGGGGGGGGGGGGUGGGGGGGGAGGGGGGUGGGUGGGUGGGGGGGUGGGGGGGCGGAGGGGUGAGUAGGGCGUGGGUAACGUGCCGUUGGCUGUGGGGUGAGUUCAGGAAACUGGGGCUAAUCCCGGCUAGUAGCUCCUGCGGCAUGGUGGGGGUUGGACAGUUGCGGCGGUGUGGGAUGGACUCGCGGCUUAUCGGCUUUUGUUGGUGGUAGUGGCUUACCAGGGCGUUGACGGGUAUCCGGCCUGAGAGGUUGACCGGCCACAUUGGGACUGAGCUCCCGCCCAGACUCCGACGUGAGGCAGCAGUUGGGAAUAUUGCACAAUGGGCGGAAGCCUGAUGCAGCAACGCCGCGUGCGGGAUGACGGCCUUCGGGUUGUAAACCGCUCUCGCCUGUGACGAAGCGUGAGUGACGGGAAUGGGUAAAGAAGCACCGGCGAACUACGUG
RNAcentral lists this ribosomal RNA (468 nucleotides) under uncultured bacterium. RNAcentral describes it as "partial 16S ribosomal RNA". The stretch from base 58 to 468 matches the Rfam family "Bacterial small subunit ribosomal RNA", at positions 39 to 507 of the family's 1533-position model. The record is from RNAcentral.